This is a long non-coding RNA of Triticum aestivum (bread wheat), 7301 nucleotides long. RefSeq lists it as uncharacterized. Lineage: Eukaryota; Viridiplantae; Streptophyta; Magnoliopsida; Poales; Poaceae. The record is from RefSeq and is a predicted model, not a curated record. The transcript has 15 exons.
GAUCGACCGACCCCUCCUGUCCUGCUCCUGCCCACACGGUCCGGAUCCAGUCCCAACCCACCACCGCCAGCUCCACUUCCCUUCGGUUUCUGCUGCUCGUCGAAGCCGUCUCCGGCAAGGACCUGGCCGGCGACACCGCCUCUUCCAUGGCAGCCCGGCCACGGCCAGGCACGCCCUUUCCUCCCUCCCCGCGCUCUGGCCGUGGCCGGUCUGCUCCUCCUCUCUUCAUCCGGGGCCCCGGGUCGUGCCUCUCAUCUGGUUUGGAUUUGCUCGUCCCCGAUUCACCAUCCGUUUAGGCUUAGAACAGCAGCGCCUCAUUUGGUUUUUUCUCGUGCUCGGUUCGUCCAUUUGGAAUCGCGCCUGGUUUGAUUUUGCUCGUCCUUGCCGUCGCCUGUUUGGGGUGAUGGGGUCACGUCCGAUUCGAUUUUGCUCCUCCUCGCCUUGUCUGUGUAGAGUCGCUUCUGGUUCGAUUUUGCUCAUCCUCACCGCCGUCCGUGUAUAGUCGCGCCUAAUUCGAUUUCGCUCGUCCUCGCCGUUGUCCUGAUGCGCUUGCGUUUUCUAGGUCCGUCUCGCCUCGUCGGGGGUCUCCGUCUCAUUUGCGAACUAGAAAUUCUGUCUGCAUGCGCUUGUGUUAUCCGAACUAGCAAUCCUGGGUUUCGUGUUCGCGUCGGUUGCAGGAACGCACGGGUCUGGUUUCGAAAUUGGAUUACGGCCGGAGACGGGGAGCGAUGUUCGUUUAUGGUGCUAGUUCAGACCGGUUCCUCCGUUCCGUCACCUGCAUUGCUCUUGGUGAUUUUCAGAACUGAAAUGCAUGCUCUCUUCUGUCAGUUCUUGUUGGCCCUCUGUCAAUUCUUGAGUUCGAGGGUUCGUUAAUUCUUGAGUUCUUGUUGUACCGGCUAGGCGUGUGUGCUCUCAAUAUAGAUGUAGAGACGGGGUGAUUCCUUACGCUUGUUCUGAUGGUGUAUACUGUUUAUGUUCUUUCCAAUUUGUUUCUUUUUAUCAUGCUUUGCUUGUGUGUUGCCAUGUGGCCUGCUGCUUGACUAAUUGAACACCUGUUGCUGCUACUGUUGGACAAGGUUGCUUCUUUUUUUCCUGAUGUUGCUAUUUCCAUUGAAGUACUCAUAGGAGUUAUAGAUGGUCUGCUGCUAGUUAGUUCCCCUUAGACUACAUUCUAGAUUGCAUAUCAUAACUCGGGCAUAUAAUUCUGUUGUGAGCAUAACUCCAGAAUUUAUUUAUUCAUGAAAGCACGUUCAUCACAUGUUUUUUAUCAAUGUUGCUAACUUCUGUCACAUCCGUUUCCUCAAUUUCAACGAACCAAUAAUGUGGACAUGUGUUGCUUGUUUUCUUGUGAUGAUGGUGAUCCAAUUGACUAGCCCAACUCUUAUGCUCUGACAUUUGUUUAUCCCCGGUUAGUGUGCCUGAAAAAUUAUUGUUUGUCAUGUUAAAUUGUAUGGCAUCAACUCGGUAUUGUGAUUAAUGACCUAGUAUUUGUUUAGUGUACAUAGUUGACUUCUUUUUUCUUAAAUUUUUAGUGAUAUGCGUGUUUGUUAUGUCUUAUGUGGAUAUCAUAUUCUUUUUUUGUAUUACUAAUGUCCAGUCAAUGAAAAAUGCUUUUCUUGCUUUGCCUAGACUUUGUGACAAUUAACUUAUAGUACGAUCAUUGAUCAUUGAGCUUCUGACACCCUAUUCCAUAAAAUUAUGUGUUCGCUGUCUGGUUUUGAAUUUGGAUUACGAGGGCAGGGAGAGGCCAAAGCAAUGUCAGUUUAUCGUGUUUGUUCAUAUCGGUUCCUCGGUUCCGUCGCUGCAUUGUUCGUCGGUGAUUUCCAGACCUCAAACGCAUGCGCCCUUGUGAUACUCUGGUUUGGCUCGCUGGUCGUUAUGGUUGUUCACCACGGUUGUUCUUAUGUUCUUGAAUCGCCCAUCUCAUAAGCAAAGAUGGGGUGAUUCAUUAUGGUUGUUCUGAUGGUUGCUUAUUUAGUGUUAUUUCCAAUUGAGUUCUUCUUGUCAUGCUUUGCUUAUGUUCCCAAUGUCUGUCUUCCCAUAUAUGGGAAUGCGUUUAGGGGUGCAAACCGUGUAGGCCGUGGUGUGUAUUGUACCAGCUACAGUGUGUUUUAUACUAUCUGAUGUGGAAGGUAUAAAUAUUGAUAUCACUUAUGUGUUAUUAUACUUGAUAUGGUGUGUUUUAUUCAAGUUAUUAACCACAUCUCUUACAAAUUUUCCUUGAGAUACAUAUUUAUAUGGCAGGAAUGAUUGUCUUGAAGAAUAAUCAUUUAUGCUAACUUGGUAUUGGUAGUUCCUGGUCAUAGGUAGCAGACCAGUACUUGUUUAGUGCAGAUAACUGACUAUUCUUUUUUCUGAACUUUUUUGUGAUAUGUGUGUUAUGUGGAUAUCAUAUUCUAAAGCUUUUCUAAGUAUUUAAGGUACAGACAUGUGUAUCUGGACAUGUCACAUUUGCUCUUUAUUGUGUUGCUAAGGACACUGAAGGUUUGGCUGGGCCACUGCACGGGCUGGCUAAUGAGCAGGAAGUGUUGCUCUGGAUCAAAUCUGUAAUGGAAGAGACUGGCAGUAACAUUACAACCGACCAACUUAAAGAAUAUGUAUAGAAGACACUUAAGAGUGGAAAGGUUGUAGUGAUUAGGGAAGCUUGCAGAACUGUAUGAAUUUGAACAACAAUGGUCGAGAGCAGCACAAAUGCUUAGUGGAAUUGGCUUGGACUCAGAAAUCAAGAUGCUUGAUGACACAAACAAAUUAUCCAAGUGUGUCCAGAUUGCACGACUAUAUUUGGAGGAUGAUGACGCAGUGAAUGCGGAAGCUUUUAUCAACAAAGCCUCGUUUUUGGUCACAAACAGCAACCAGGAAGUUCUGAACUUACAAUACAAGGUCUGCUAUGGGAGAAUUUUAGAUCUAAAAAGCUGCACUUCAAUAUUGUGUUAUCUCUCAAAUUGAGCAAUGCCAAAUUGGGGAUGAGUAAGGCUUACUCCAUUCAGUUGUAGAUUUGUUUCUCUCGUGCAAUUUACUCGUUUUUAAUGUUCUAUCUUGUAUGGUUCUUUGUUGCCUUGCCGGUGUAGUGGUGCCUAAUUUCUAUUUUACACCCUUCAAAUAUUUCAAUGUUUUGCUUACUGGAUGUAAUAUAUUACCCUACUUGAUACUCAUGUUUAAGUACUGCAGUGGUUAUUAGCAAGUCGUGUUUGGAACUGAUACCACCUCCAUAUUUUAUUCUUAAAGAUCUUGAUGGAACAUUGUUUCUAUAUUUUCUCAGAUAGAUUGAUGAAAAUGCUCUUGAGCAUGCUCUUAGUGCUGCUGUAACAUGCACAAUAUUGUAACUGAUGAGAGGCAGCCACUGUUGCCAACUUGAAAUUAGUUUACUCAUUCAAGUUCUAGAAUUUCUUUAUAGCUUUCUGAGUUUACUUCGGUCUUCCAUGUAUUGGAUUUCUCUUUGUGCCCCUAUCUAUGUUCGUUUCUUGUGUGCAAGUGCUCCAUUCUAUGUGUGUGACUGUGUGUGACUUGAUGAAUAUGUGUGUGGCUUGACUCUCUGUGCGUGUGUGUGUAGUUUGACUUUGUGUGUGUGUGUAUAGCUUGACUGUGUGUGGCUUGAUGCCGAAUAUGUGUGUGGCUUGAUGGUGAAUAUGUGUGUGGCUUGACUCUGUGUGAGACUGUGUGUGGCUUGAUGCUGAAUAUGUGUGUGGCUUGACUCUGUGUGAGACUGUGUGUGGUUUGAUGCUGAAUAUGUGUGUGGCUUGACUGUGUGUGUGUGUGUGUGUGUGAUUUUGUGAAAAUUGCAUUUGUUUGACGGUGUGGCUUGUAUGCUUUGCUGAAUAUUUGGUUGUAUAACUUGUGUUUUAUGUCACGACUGAUUGCUUUGUUGUUUGUUGAAUGUGAACAGACCUAGCACUAUAUUUUUUCUAAACUUUUUGUGAUAUCAUAUCCUUUUUUGUACUAUUGCUGUCCAGGCAAUUGAAUAAUGCUUUUCUCUAAGUAUUUAAGGUACAAACAUUUGGAUCCGGACAUGUCACAUGGGCUCUUUAUUGUGUUUUUAAGGACACUGAUGGGUUUUGUUUGCAUGCAACACAGAUGUGUUGUAUCCAUAACUACCUAUUGGCACCAGAUAUUUGUGCUCAAAAUGCAGUAUGGACCAACAAAAUGGUCUCAUUGCAAGGUCACUACCUGGACAUAUAGGCAAGCAAUGUCAAGAGAGGUGGCAUAAUCAUCUGAAUCCAGAAUACAGAGAGAUGGUUGGACUACUGAGGAACAUGCACGAAUUAAUACCCAUCGGGUAUAUGAGAAUAAAUGGGCAAAAAUAGCAGAAGUUGUUCCUAGAAGGCAUCUGAAUAUUGCAGGAAUGGGGUACUUCCAUUUAUGUAACUUCUAUUUGUUAUCAGUUCUUCUCACCUAUAGCUAAAGUCAAAGACGGUGAAUUAUUGGAUUUGCAAGAUACACAAAAUCAGUCAUCUUAAUCUUCUUUUGUAAAUAUGACUGAUGGUCCUGCUGAUAACGCUAUCCAUCGGCUUGUAAGUCAUGAGAGGCAACCACAGUUGCCAACUUGAAACAUAUAAUUUUUUAGGAAUGAAGAUCUGAAUCACCCUCACCCCUCGAGAGAAAUCAGUUUAGUCAUUCAGGUUCUAGAAUUUCUUUAUAGAUUUCUGAGUUUACUUCGGACUUGCAUGUAUUUGUGCCCCUAUCUAUGUCUGUUUCAUUUUGUUUCUUGUGUGCAAGCGCUCCAUUCUAUGUGUGUCUGACUGUGUGUGGCUUGACUCUCUUGUGUGUGUGGCUUGACUGUGUGUGUGACUGUUGCAUUUGACUGUGAUGUGUGACUGUUUGUGUGACUGUGUGUGUGACUGUGUGAAUAUUGUGUAUUUGAUUGUGAUGUGUGACCGUGUGAAUAUUGCAUUUUGACUGUGGUUGUGUGUGUGUGUGUGUGUGUGUGUGUGUGUGUGAUUGUGUGUGUGGCUUGUAUGCUUUGUUGAAUGAUUGGUUGUUGUGGCGUAACACUGCCUUUGCCGGUCCCAAGCCCAGAUGUGAAAGUGUGCAGGGAGCUGUAGUUACCUCCUUUGUAUUGUUUGCCUUAGAAGUGUGGAAAUUCAUGGCUUAGGUUAUUGUCCUAAUCAAAUAGUGAAUCCUAACAUAAUGUAGGAUUCAAGCUUCAAAUGCAUCCUUCCUUGCUAUGAAAAAUCUAGGCAUGCCAGGAACUUCCUGAUUCUAUACCUAAUAUAAUAUUAACGGGAGGAAGAUUUCAUAGUUCUCAAUAAGUCGUUUGCCAAUCGUUAAUACGACGUCUGUGGUUCGGUCUACCCGUGUCCAACCUUGCUACCUCUCCGAUCCAACUGGAGUUUGUGCAAACCGUGUCUGGGCUUCCCGUGUCCGUCCCGCCCUCAAAUCUUCCUUUUUUAGCCCUAAAAAUAUCUUCCUUUUUUUCUUCCUUCGCGUGACUCCUUCAGUUCUGCGCCCUGCCGAUCCCCCUGAUCUCACCUUCUGAACGCGCAGCCAACUCCACCUCCGCCUCCUUCGUGUGGCCAGCAGCGGCACACAACAUGUACUUUUCACCAAGAUUGUUGCACGGUAGGAUCGACGGUGGCAGGUGAGUCUGCCGCCCAACAACGGUAUGGCAUGGCCUGAACCAUGAGGAGUGUGGGGCUCAGCGACGUCUUUUGCUUUCUGAUUAUUGAUUGAUUUGUUCCUCGCAGUAUUUUCAAUCGCGUUUCAUGAUUUUAUUUUUCAGUUUCGUAGCAUAAUGUGUGUUCCUCACAGGCUAGAAAUGCAAUUAACUCAAUCAUGUGAAAUAUGUAGUUAUAGGCAGGUGUGUACAGUUAGGCUCAAGUUUCAUAGUGCCAAACUCUAAUCUUGAUACGCCAAUUGUGUCAUUUAUGUUGUGUGGCCAAUUUGGCAUCCAAUGCAUCCCAUGCUUAUCUUAUUUAUCUCACUCACUCAUCAGAGCACCCUUUUUUGUGAUAUGUGUGUUUCAUUAUGUCUUACGUUGAUAUCAUAUCUAUUAUUGUAUUACUGUUGUCCAGUCACUGGAAUAAUGCUUUUCUGAGUAUUUAAGGUACAGACAUGUGGAUCUGGACAUGUCAUAUUUGCUCUUUAUUGUGUUGCUAAGGACACUGUUCCUACAUCAGUGUCUAAACAUGGCAAAGUUCCAACAUCAACUCAAUGAUGCGGCGUAUCUGCAAUAGUUGGAUAUUUUCAUCCAGCUCCAGUACCACAACAAGCAUCACAGGUUUAGAUGGGUCCUUCUUUGUAUACUGGGCCACUCUUUGGAGCACUCUCUCGUUUCACCUGCAACAUUUGGUGUUGGUAGUGUAGCUGAACCAUUCCCUAUAGACACAAACACUCUGUUCAAUGUUGCAGAACGGUCGAGAAAGUAGCCUCCAGUACCUAACUGGCUUCAAGAAGAGCUCCUAAAGAAAAAUCAACUCCAUUGAGUGCUUCGGUGCAACAUCUUGACUAAUUCUGAUUCCAUGGAAUCUGAAGAUGCUGCAGAACCACCAAAAAGAGCUAACCAAACUGAUAGUAGAAGCAUUGGUUCAGCAAAAUCAAUCAAAGCUGAUGAAGCUGAUGAGGAUGAAGUUGAAGUGGCACGGAUGGCAGCAAUCAACAAGGAAAUUAAACGUGUGUUGACAGAAGUUCUUCCGAAGGUUGUCAUUGCAUGGAGGUUACUGAUGAUCUUUUUAGUGAGAUUGCAAGCAAAGUUAUGAAUGAAGAGGAUUCAUGAGUUGGUGAUCUUUUUGAUGAGAUUGCAAGCAAAGUUAUGAACAAAGAUGAUUCAUGAUCUGAACGUGAGUGAAUUAUACUAAAACUUAGUGUAAAUAGGAAAUUACAUUGUUGAUUAUCGCCUCUGUCUUGCAGCAAAUGAGACCAUUGGUGUCUCUAGCUCAAAGGAGACCACAACUAAAGUUGUAGUCCCUGCUAAGACAAACAAUGCUAGCUCUGAUGAUAUUGUGCUAAGUUCUCCUGAAGGUGCUCUUCUUGGUCUUACUAGUUAUGAUUCAGAUGACGAGGAUGAUGGUGAUGGUAAGGGUUUAAUUCCAAAUUUAUCAUCUAAAAUUAAAGUUGGUGCAGCUCAUCCUAAAGAAAGCAAGUUCUUGAACAACACAAAGCAAACAUGGUUUCCUAAAUUUAUUUUCUAAAGAAGGAAGAGCUUAUUAUUAACCUGUCAGUGUACUAGAGUAGGGGUACCCUAAUAUCCCGAACUUGUGCACGGGCAGUUGCAGCACCCCGCGGCAAGGCUUGCCGGGUGACCGCCAAGGUCCCCCGUGGUUCCUUUGGAGCCAUUCAAGAACAAAGUAUUCAGGCCAAGGAGACGA